UACGUAGGGGGCGAGCGUUGUCCGAAGUUACUGGGCGUAAAGCGCGCGUAGGCGGUUCUCUAAGUCUGAGGUGAAAGGUUCGGCGCUCAACGUGAACAGUGCCUUGGAGACUGGAGGACUUGAGUGUGGGAGGGGGCAGUGGAAUUCCUGGUGUAGCGGUGAAAUGCGUAGAUAUCUGGAGGAAUACCGGUGGCGAAGGCGGCGUUCUGGACCAUUACUGACACUGAAUCGCGAAAGCUAGGGGAGCAAACGGG
RNAcentral lists this ribosomal RNA (254 nucleotides) under uncultured bacterium. RNAcentral describes it as "partial 16S ribosomal RNA". It matches the Rfam family "Bacterial small subunit ribosomal RNA", at positions 524 to 776 of the family's 1533-position model. The record is from RNAcentral.